RNAcentral lists this transfer RNA (71 nucleotides) under Teladorsagia circumcincta. Its description in RNAcentral is "tRNA-Gly". The record is from RNAcentral. Lineage: Eukaryota; Metazoa; Nematoda; Chromadorea; Rhabditida; Trichostrongylidae.
UGCACCAACCGGGAGUUGAACCCGGGUCUGUACCGUGGGAGGGUGCGAUGACCCCGCUACAACAUUGGUAC